GCCCGGGUAGCUCAGUGGUAGAGCAGCUCACUCGUAAUGAGCAGGUCGUCGGUUCAAUCCCGACCUCGGGCU
RNAcentral lists this transfer RNA (72 nucleotides) under Actinomycetota bacterium. RNAcentral describes it as "tRNA-Thr". It matches the Rfam family "tRNA". Rfam says of the family: Transfer RNA (tRNA) molecules are approximately 80 nucleotides in length. The record is from RNAcentral. Lineage: Bacteria; Bacillati; Actinomycetota.